This 305-nucleotide ribosomal RNA is filed under the name uncultured bacterium. RNAcentral's name for it is "bacterial SSU rRNA". It matches the Rfam family "Bacterial small subunit ribosomal RNA", at positions 338 to 641 of the family's 1533-position model. The record is from RNAcentral.
CCUACGGGAGGCAGCAGUGGGGAAUAUUGCACAAUGGGGGAAACCCUGAUGCAGCGACGCCGCGUGAGUGAAGAAGUAUUUCGGUAUGUAAACCUCUUUUGUCAGGGAGCAAUUGGCGCUACGUGUAGCGUUAUCGAGAGUACCUGAAGAAAAAGCAUCGGCUAACUCCGUGCCAGCAGCCGCGGUAAUACGGAGGAUGCGAGCGUUAUCCGGAUUUAUUGGGUUUAAAGGGUGCGUAGGCGGAAUGCCAAGUCAGCGGUAAAAUCGCGGGGCUCAACCUCGCUCCGCCGUUGAAACUGGCGUUU